GGGACACCGAGUGCCAGCAUCAUAUGUUGGCUGCCCAGAUGUGUAAAAUACAUCUGUUAGCGAGGGCCGGGCAAGACCGGUGCCAGCCGCCGCGGUAACACCGGCGGCCCGAGUGGUGAUCGUGAUUAUUGGGUCUAAAGGGUCCGUAGCCGGUUUGGUCAGUCCUCCGGGAAAUCUGACGGCUCAACCGUUAGGCUUUCGGUGGAUACUGCCAGACUUGGAACCGGGAGAGGUAAGAGGUACUACAGGGAUAGGAGUGAAAUCUUGUAGUCCCUGUGAGACCACCUGUGGCGAAGGCGUCUUACCAGAACGGGUUCGACGGUGAGGGACGAAAGCUGGGGGCACGAACCGGAUUAGAUACCCGGGUAGUCCCAGCCGUAAACGAUGCUCGCUAGGUGUCAGGCAUGGCGCGACCGUGUCUGGUGCCGCAGGGAAGCCGUGAAGCGAGCCACCUGGGAAGUACGGCCGCAAGGCUGAAACUUAAAGGAAUUGGCGGGGGAGCACAACAACGGGUGGAGCCUGCGGUUUAAUUGGACUCAACGCCGGACAACUCACCGGGGACGACAGCAAUAUGUAGGCCAGGCUAAAGACCUUGCCUGAAUCGCUGAGAGGAGGUGCAUGGCCGUCGCCAGUUCGUACUGUGAAGCAUCCUGUUAAGUCAGGCAACGAGCGAGACCCGUGCCCACUGUUACCAGCAUGUCCUCCGGGACGAUGGGUACUCUGUGGGGACCGCCGAUGUUAAAUCGGAGGAAGGUGCGGGCUACGGUAGGUCAGUAUGCCCCGAAUUUCCCGGGCUACACGCGGGCUACAAUGAAUGGGACAAUGGGUCCCUACCCCGAGAGGGGUUGGUAAUCUCCCAAACCCAUCCGUAGUUCGGAUCGAGGGCUGUAACUCGCCCUCGUGAAGCUGGAAUCCGUAGUAAUCGCGUUUCAAUAUAGCGCGGUGAAUACGUCCCUGCUCCUUGCACACACCGCAAUCGA
Molecule: ribosomal RNA, 980 nt
Filed under: uncultured Methanosarcina sp.
Lineage: Archaea; Methanobacteriati; Methanobacteriota; Methanomicrobia; Methanosarcinales; Methanosarcinaceae
Description: bacterial SSU rRNA
Rfam family: Archaeal small subunit ribosomal RNA
Source: RNAcentral